RNAcentral lists this ribosomal RNA (402 nucleotides) under uncultured bacterium. RNAcentral describes it as "bacterial SSU rRNA". It matches the Rfam family "Bacterial small subunit ribosomal RNA", at positions 355 to 774 of the family's 1533-position model. The record is from RNAcentral.
UGGGGAAUCAUAGACAAUGGGGGCAACCCUGAUCUUGCCAUGCCGCGUGAGCGAUGAAGGCCCUAGGGUUGUAAAGCUCUUUCACCCGUGACGAUAAUGACGGUAGCGGGAGAAGAAGCCCCGGCUAACUCCGUGCCAGCAGCCGCGGUAAUACGGAGGGGGCUAGCGUUGUUCGGAAUUACUGGGCGUAAAGCGCACGUAGGCGGACCGGAAAGUUGGGGGUGAAAUCCCGGGGCUCAACCCCGGAACUGCCCUCAAAACUGUCGGUCUGGAGUCCGAGAGAGGUGAGUGGAAUUCCGAGUGUAGAGGUGAAAUUCGUAGAUAUUCGGAAGAACACCAGUGGCGAAGGCGGCUCACUGGCUCGGUACUGACGCUGAGGUGCGAAAGCGUGGGGAGCAAACA